Molecule: unclassified non-coding RNA, 343 nt
Filed under: soil metagenome
Description: partial contains 5.8S ribosomal RNA, internal transcribed spacer 2, and large subunit ribosomal RNA
Rfam family: 5.8S ribosomal RNA (bases 1-120)
Source: RNAcentral
GAUGAAGAACGUAGCGAAAUGCGAUAAGUAAUGUGAAUUGCAGAAUUCAGUGAAUCAUCGAAUCUUUGAACGCACAUUGCGCCCGCUAGUAUUCUGGCGGGCAUGCCUGUCCGAGCGUCAUUUCAACCCUCAAGCCCCCGGGCUUGGUGUUGGGGAUCGGCGAGCCUCCGCGCCCGCCGUCCCCUAAAUCUAGUGGCGGUCUCGCUGUAGCUUCCUCUGCGUAGUAGCACACCUCGCACUGGGAAACAGCGCGGCCACGCCGUUAAACCCCCAACUUCUGAACGUUUGACCUCGGAUUAGGUAGGAAUACCCGCUGAACUUAAGCAUAUCAAUAAGCGGAGGA